Molecule: ribosomal RNA, 254 nt
Filed under: uncultured bacterium
Lineage: Bacteria
Description: partial small subunit ribosomal RNA
Rfam family: Bacterial small subunit ribosomal RNA
Source: RNAcentral
AGGACGAACGCUGGCGGCGUGCUUAACACAUGCAAGUCGAGCGGAAAGGCCCUUCGGGGUACUCGAGCGGCGAACGGGUGAGUAACACGUGAGCAACCUGCCCUUAGCUCCGGGAUAGCUCCGGGAAACCGGAAUUAAUACCGGAUAUGACUUAGGCCGACAUCGGCUGUGGUGGAAAGUUUUUCGGCUGGGGAUGGACUCGCGGCCUAUCAGCUUGUUGGUGGGGUAAUGGCCUACCAAGGCGACGACGGGUA